AUGAGAUACCGUACGAUGCGGUUCGAGAGGACGAGAGUCCAAGUUCGAAUAAGGCCAGUCCGUUAUCACAGGGAGACCUGGGCACCGAGUCGGUGC
RNAcentral lists this non-coding RNA (96 nucleotides) under Cloning vector AGG1962. The record is from RNAcentral. RNAcentral also lists the same sequence under 1 other name.